CCUACGGGAGGCAGCAGUGGGGAAUAUUGCACAAUGGGCGCAAGCCUGAUGCAGCCAUGCCGCGUGUGUGAAGAAGGCCUUCGGGUUGUAAAGCACUUUCAGCGGGGAGGAAGGCGUUAAGGUUAAUAACCUUGUCGAUUGACGUUACCCGCAGAAGAAGCACCGGCUAACUCCGUGCCAGCAGCCGCGGUAAUACGGAGGGUGCAAGCGUUAAUCGGAAUUACUGGGCGUAAAGCGCACGCAGGCGGUCUGCCAAGUCGGAUGUGAAAUCCCCGGGCUCAACCUGGGAACUGCAUUCGAAACUGGCAGGCUAGAGUCUUGUAGAGGGGGGUAGAAUUCCAGGUGUAGCGGUGAAAUGCGUAGAGAUCUGGAGGAAUACCGGUGGCGAAGGCGGCCCCCUGGACAAAGACUGACGCUCAGGUGCGAAAGCGUGGGGAGCAAACAGGAUUAGAUACCCGUGUAGUC
Molecule: ribosomal RNA, 465 nt
Filed under: uncultured Klebsiella sp.
Lineage: Bacteria; Pseudomonadati; Pseudomonadota; Gammaproteobacteria; Enterobacterales; Enterobacteriaceae
Description: bacterial SSU rRNA
Rfam family: Bacterial small subunit ribosomal RNA
Source: RNAcentral